Molecule: long non-coding RNA, 2098 nt
Organism: Caretta caretta (loggerhead turtle)
Lineage: Eukaryota; Metazoa; Chordata; Testudines; Cheloniidae
Source: RefSeq, a predicted model, not a curated record
GUUACCCUUCAAAAUUGAUGUGGUACUUUUAAACGAUUGGAAAUCAAUUUAAAAGUAGAAAUAUAAUUCAAUUUAAAACAUUUCUUUAUCGAGAGAUAGCAAUAUUAACAUUGUUUUUUGAAUGUGACUACUCAUUUUUCAAUUACAAAAUGGUAACUGAUUUUUUGAUGUAGGUGGUAUUCUUUUCUAAAGCUUUGUAAACAUUACAAAUGUCUAACUGGGCUCAUCAUUUAUUUAGAAUAAAUGCCUUGGCAUUCAUUGAACCCAACAGCUCAGAAAUAUUUAUUCCAUUCAUAUCACAGCCUUAGACUUUAUCCAUGUUAGGAGUUUAAUGGACUGAGAUGAAAACAAUAAAAAAUGGUUAGGCUUCAUUCAGUGUUCAAAAGGCAAUUCUGAGCAUUACAGCAUAUAAAGGGUACAACAUGUGCUAAAUGAGUCCUGAGAAAAAAUUAUUCUUCAAUUUGAAUAAAUAGCAAUUAAACAAUAGCAGAGAGAGAAAUGGAACAUGUCAAAAAUUAACUUUCUUUUUCAGCACUGACUUUGUUUUACACAUGCACAUUUUCGUCCCACAAAAUGCCAAGUUGUUUAAAGUACUAUGAAGUCAUCAAAAGGAAAUGUGUCACGAAUAAAAACUCAGCCACUGUCAUUUAGAUGCCUGUAUUCUAAAUGGAAUGGUAAUUGAAAAUAUGUGCAUGUUUAGUAAUUGUUUCCUUUUUUAUAUUACUUAGGACCAAGACACGAUGUAGCUGACUGAAGAUACUAGUGUAAAUAACUUCAAGCCUACUGAGGGAAUACAGGAGUCACAGUGCAGGAUAUGAGAGCAAUCAGAAAAUGAGGAUAGAUUUCAUUACUGUAGACAAUGGUCACAGAAGUAAACUGAGCUGCAAUUGAUACAGCUUAACUUGACACACCAGAUUCACUUUAUAAAUGAUUCAUUUUGUUGUCCAUUGAAUAACCCCUCCCUUCUCCCCCCCCCCUCCCCCCGCAUUAAAGUUCAAUAUUCAGAAGCUCUGGAGACCCCAGCAGGUGCCAGUUUGCUAACUAGAGACCCAGACCUGCUGUCACUGAAGUCAAGGGCAAAAUUCCAAUGAACUGUACAGGAUUAGGUCUUCUGAAAGUUGCAACUACAUUAUGGAAACUAUAAGAAUAAAUUGUGAUUUAAACUGGAUUUACAUUUUACCGCUGAAUUCAGCAGUUAUACUCCCAAUACCAUAUAUUCCUUCACUUUAUUCACUCAUAGUUCCAACAGUAGCACUCUCACUACGUGGCUAGAGAGCUGAAAGUUAAAUUUCCUCAGCAGGAUUUGGGCCCUUACCUGAAGCUGACACUGUUCUGUCCAGUAGGUUAGCAUUUAGAUACUGCAGUGAUCAAUGAUCUAGAAACACCUGGAAAAGGAGUCUAAAAAUGAGGCAUGUUUAAGCACUGAAUAGUUUUGUUCAUAUUCCAUAGGAUUAGGCAGAAUGGCUAAACUUCCAUGAGAAUCAGCUAGUUCUCCCUAAUGAAGGUCCAAACCAAGCCAGGAGAACUUGAAGAAAGACCAACAACAGCUUAUAGAAGCAGAACAGAAGAAAAACAGGAAGGCCUGUGACCCUUAGAGGAGCAAAGGCAGCAAGAAGAAUACAGUUUGUUAAUGGAGCUUUUUCACUUUGAAUCAGAAAUCCAGGAAAGGACAAGGAAACAAUGGGAUCAGCAGAAAGAACAAGCAAAGCUGCAAAAGGAAGAAAACAGAGACAGAUGGAGGAAUCUGUGUUACAUCACACAGAACCAGCGCUUCAGCAAUUAUCCUCUACUGCAACCCCAGGACUUUUGGGGCCGAUGGAACUUGAUCCCAUAUUAGCUGCUUGCGGGUGGCCUGCAUCUUCCCCUUUUGGUGUCCUCUGCUGCUUCUUAAGACUGUUAAGAUUCUAUGAGCCAGGCCCUGAGCUGCCUAGCUUUUCUACUGCUGGCAUUUUGUCUUCAAAGGACCAUUGCUGUGGCCAUUCAAGUCUCUGCAAGCAGUGAAAAGACUCUGAAAGCCUUUGAAAUUUAUGAGUCUCCACAUCAUGUCAGAGUAAUGAUGAGCAUGAAAGAAAAGCUUUUAUUUGUUUAAAAUGUUGGU